UACGUAGGUGACAAGCGUUGUCCGGAUUUAUUGGGCGUAAAGAGCGUGUAGGCGGCCAGACAGGUCCACUGUGAAAACUCGAGGCUCAACCUCGAGAGGUCGGUGGAAACCGUCUGGCUAGAGUCCGGAAGAGGAGAGUGGAAUUCCCGGUGUAGCGGUGAAAUGCGCAGAUAUCGGGAAGAACACCCGUGGCGAAGGCGGCUCUCUGGGACGGUACUGACGCUGAGACGCGAAAGCGUGGGGAGCGAACAGG
RNAcentral lists this ribosomal RNA (253 nucleotides) under uncultured bacterium. RNAcentral's name for it is "partial 16S ribosomal RNA". It matches the Rfam family "Bacterial small subunit ribosomal RNA", at positions 524 to 776 of the family's 1533-position model. The record is from RNAcentral.